Long non-coding RNA from Antechinus flavipes (yellow-footed antechinus), 908 nucleotides. RefSeq lists it as uncharacterized. The transcript has 3 exons. Lineage: Eukaryota; Metazoa; Chordata; Mammalia; Dasyuromorphia; Dasyuridae. The record is from RefSeq and is a predicted model, not a curated record.
CCCUCCCCCACGGGGGCUCUCUCUUGGGGACAGAGGGAAAUGUGCGCCCAAUCCCACAAAGCGCACAGGAAGGCGCGCGCAUUCGUCCCGGCCCCGCCCAGUUCUCUGUGCGGAGUGAGAGUCGAGGAAAGACUGGACGAGUCAGCGGUUCAGUCAGAGCGAGUUUUACGACGAUCCCUUAAAAUUGCCUUCUCGGUUCCCACCCGCCCGCCCCUUCCACUCCUUCCAGGCGGAGGCGAUUCUUUUUGUAUGAAUUACUCUUGGGGCUCUGGGUUCGGCGUUCCAGGGGGGGAGGUGGGGGAAGAGUCCAGAAUCUUCCUCCCCCUUAAUGCCUUCUAGAAAAACCGGCUAAUGCAACCGGGAACAAAUAGGCGAACAUGUCUUUCCCUGGCCUUAGGUCUUGCUGGAGCCCAGCCAGAUGCCAAAGGGGGAUGGGGGAGGAAGAAAGGGAAGAUAAUCAUUCACCCCUGGUCGGUUGCUCUUUGGGCCCUGGCACUCACUCCUCCUUACCCCGCUUCCACUCCUUUUCUCCUCUACUUGGAGAAGCCACGUGACACGAAUGUCCAGGGCGGACACCUCAGUCCGGAUGGGCCUUCUCCACUCGUUCUAUGAUCUCCAACUGUCUACUAUUUAUUUCCACCUGGAUGUCCAAUUGAUGACUCAAGUGAAUAUGUCCAAAGAUCUAGUACUUUAUUACUAUGCCACUGGGCUGGAGGUACAAACAAACAAAGAAAACAGUUCCUGGCUUCCAAGAGCCUACAUUCUGGAGAGUAUGAUAUGUAUACAGAUAGAUUCCAUAUGAUUUGAAGAAAGAAUAAAGACAAAAAGUAUUGAUAUCUCCUACUAAUAUUUAAUAAAAUUCUUCUCUGUUUGAUUAUCUAAUAAAGUUAAUCCAGAUUCUACCCUUA